CAGUAGCCACGGGAAUACAGAGGAUGCAAGCGUUAUCCGGAAUGAUUGGGCGUAAAGGGCUCGCAGGCGGUUUCUUAAGUCUGAUGUGAAAGCCCCCGGCUCAACCGGGGAGGGUCAUUGGAAACUGGGGAACUUGAGUGCAGAAGAGGAGAGUGGAAUUCCACGUGUAGCGGUGAAAUGCGUAGAGAUGUGGAGGAACACCAGUGGCGAAGGCGACUCUCUGGUCUGUAACUGACGCUGAGGAGCGAAAGCGUGGGGAGCGAACAGGAUUAGAUACCCGAGUAGUCCCUGUCUCUUAUAC
This 301-nucleotide ribosomal RNA is filed under the name uncultured bacterium. Its description in RNAcentral is "partial 16S ribosomal RNA". It matches the Rfam family "Bacterial small subunit ribosomal RNA", at positions 509 to 807 of the family's 1533-position model. The record is from RNAcentral.